Molecule: ribosomal RNA, 253 nt
Filed under: uncultured bacterium
Lineage: Bacteria
Description: partial 16S ribosomal RNA
Rfam family: Bacterial small subunit ribosomal RNA
Source: RNAcentral
UACGUAGGGGGCUAGCGUUGUCCGGAUUUAUUGGGCGUAAAGAGCGUGUAGGCGGCCAGGUAGGUCUGCUGUGAAAACUCGAGGCUCAACCUCGAGACGUCGGCGGAAACCAUCUAGCUAGAGUCCGGAAGAGGAGAGUGGAAUUCCUGGUGUAGCGGUGAAAUGCGCAGAUAUCAGGAAGAACACCCGUGGCGAAGGCGGCUCUCUGGGACGGUACUGACGCUGAGACGCGAAAGCGUGGGGAGCGAACAGG